This 301-nucleotide ribosomal RNA is filed under the name uncultured bacterium. RNAcentral's name for it is "partial 16S ribosomal RNA". It matches the Rfam family "Bacterial small subunit ribosomal RNA", at positions 509 to 807 of the family's 1533-position model. The record is from RNAcentral.
CAGUAGCCGCGGUAAUACCGAGGGUGCAAGCGUUAAUCGGAAUUACUGGGCGUAAAGCGUGCGUAGGUGGUGGUUUAAGUCCGUUGUGAAAGCCCUGGGCUCAACCUGGGAAUUGCAGUGGAUACUGGGUCACUAGAGUGUGGUAGAGGAUAGUGGAAUUUCCGGUGUAGCAGUGAAAUGCGUAGAGAUCGGAAGGAACAUCUGUGGCGAAGGCGACUAUCUGGGCCAACACUGACACUGAGGCACGAAAGCGUGGGGAGCAAACAGGAUUAGAUACCCGCGUAGUCCCUGUCUCUUAUAC